AACGAACGCUGGCGGCAUGCCUAACACAUGCAAGUCGAACGAGACCUUCGGGUCUAGUGGCGCACGGGUGCGUAACGCGUGGGAAUCUGCCCCUCGGUUCGGAACAACAGUUAGAAAUGACUGCUAAUACCGGAUAAUGACGAAAGUCCAAAGAUUUAUCGCCGAGGGAUGAGCCCGCGUAGGAUUAGCUUGUUGGUGGGGUAAAUGGCCCACCAAGGCGACGAUCCUUAGCUGGUCUGAGAGGAUGAUCAGCCACACUGGGACUGAGACACGGCCCAGACUCCUAACGGGAGGCAGCAGUGGGGAAUAUUGGACAAUGGGCGAAAGCCUGAUCCA
RNAcentral lists this ribosomal RNA (336 nucleotides) under uncultured bacterium. Its description in RNAcentral is "bacterial SSU rRNA". It matches the Rfam family "Bacterial small subunit ribosomal RNA", at positions 29 to 390 of the family's 1533-position model. The record is from RNAcentral.